GGCUGCAUAGCUCAGUGGUAGAGUGUGUGCUUAGCAUGCACAAGGUUCUGGUUCAGUCCUCAGUACCUCCA
RNAcentral lists this transfer RNA (71 nucleotides) under Camelus bactrianus (Bactrian camel). It matches the Rfam family "tRNA". From Rfam's summary of the family: Transfer RNA (tRNA) molecules are approximately 80 nucleotides in length. Their secondary structure includes four short double-helical elements and three loops (D, anti-codon, and T loops). Lineage: Eukaryota; Metazoa; Chordata; Mammalia; Artiodactyla; Camelidae. The record is from Rfam by way of RNAcentral. RNAcentral also lists the same sequence under 1 other name.